CUGAAGCCAUAGUGAAAAUGUGUUACAGGAUAAUUAUUCAUCAAAGUUAUAUAUGCAACUAUUCAAGUCAAUCACUGCUGCCACCACUGCAGGAUUUUAUUACUUCCAGAAAUGUUUAACACCAUGAAUAAAAGAAUUCGUCAACAACAAAUUAUAGUUAACCAGUUACCAGCUCUCUUUUUCUCACCAUGGAGGAAGCUAGUGCCCACUCCACCAAUAAGUGACUCAAGAAAUCAAGUGUUUUGAAGGCCAUUGAUACUGAAUGGUGGUAUAUGAAGACAACAGCUCACAAUUAAACGAUGAACAGGAUGUUUUCAUCUGGACAUAUUUUUUCUUUUUUAAAGAUGAAAAUCUAGCAGGAACUCUGGAUGCCACUUUGACUUUUUGAGGCAAGUUGCUGUCAUUCUUUAGACAAAUUGUUUUCUGAAAGUUAAACAUUAUGGUGGAGAAACAUUAAAUAACAAUUGCAAAUAACAAGUGAUCUUAUCAAAAAAUGGAGAAUGUCGAUUAAGAUGAACAUGAAGCAAGUAAUACAUAAAUCCACUUAAAAGAAAGAUGGCCUGACAGGUUAACUCCUGGCAACACCCAGCCUACCUCAAGAAGAUGAUGAGCAUCAAAGAACCUCCUUAUGGAGAUGACUUCAAAUUCAGCAAACCAGCCACUGGGCAAAAUGUCCUUGUUUCUGCCACAGA
Molecule: long non-coding RNA, 692 nt
Organism: Acomys russatus (golden spiny mouse)
Lineage: Eukaryota; Metazoa; Chordata; Mammalia; Rodentia; Muridae
Exons: 3
Source: RefSeq, a predicted model, not a curated record